RNAcentral lists this ribosomal RNA (1567 nucleotides) under Salmonella enterica subsp. enterica serovar Typhimurium. Its description in RNAcentral is "partial 23S ribosomal RNA". It matches the Rfam family "Bacterial large subunit ribosomal RNA", at positions 683 to 2149 of the family's 2925-position model. Lineage: Bacteria; Pseudomonadati; Pseudomonadota; Gammaproteobacteria; Enterobacterales; Enterobacteriaceae. The record is from RNAcentral.
CUUAACCGGGCGUUAAGUUGCAGGGUAUAGACCCGAAACCCGGUGAUCUAGCCAUGGGCAGGUUGAAGGUUGGGUAACACUAACUGGAGGACCGAACCGACUAAUGUUGAAAAAUUAGCGGAUGACCUGUGGCUGGGGGUGAAAGGCCAAUCAAACCGGGAGAUAGCUGGUUCUCCCCGAAAGCUAUUUAGGUAGCGCCUCGUGAAUUCAUCUCCGGGGGUAGAGCACUGUUUCGGCUAGGGGGCCAUCCCGGCUUACCAACCCGAUGCAAACUGCGAAUACCGGAGAAUGUUAUCACGGGAGACACACGGCGGGUGCUAACGUCCGUCGUGAAGAGGGAAACAACCCAGACCGCCAGCUAAGGUCCCAAAGUCAUGGUUAAGUGGGAAACGAUGUGGGAAGGCCCAGACAGCCAGGAUGUUGGCUUAGAAGCAGCCAUCAUUUAAAGAAAGCGUAAUAGCUCACUGGUCGAGUCGGCCUGCGCGGAAGAUGUAACGGGGCUAAACCAUGCACCGAAGCUGCGGCAGCGAACGUAUCACUUAAAGCGAUUCAGCGGGUUACGAUUGACGGAGCGAAGCGACGUCAAAGCGUAUACAAAGUCGAGUCGGUUUAAGGAUACGUUCGUUGGGUAGGGGAGCGUUCUGUAAGCCUGUGAAGGUGGCCUGUGAGGGUUGCUGGAGGUAUCAGAAGUGCGAAUGCUGACAUAAGUAACGAUAAAGCGGGUGAAAAGCCCGCUCGCCGGAAGACCAAGGGUUCCUGUCCAACGUUAAUCGGGGCAGGGUGAGUCGACCCCUAAGGCGAGGCCGAAAGGCGUAGUCGAUGGGAAACGGGUUAAUAUUCCCGUACUUGGUGUUACUGCGAAGGGGGGACGGAGAAGGCUAUGUUGGCCGGGCGACGGUUGUCCCGGUUUAAGCGUGUAGGUGUGUGUUCCAGGUAAAUCCGGUUCACUUUAACACUGAGGCGUGAUGACGAGGCACUACGGUGCUGAAGCAACAAAUGCCCUGCUUCCAGGAAAAGCCUCUAAGCAUCAGGUAACAUCAAAUCGUACCCCAAACCGACACAGGUGGUCAGGUAGAGAAUACCAAGGCGCUUGAGAGAACUCGGGUGAAGGAACUAGGCAAAAUGGUGCCGUAACUUCGGGAGAAGGCACGCUGACACGUAGGUGAAGUGAUUUACUCACGGAGCUGAAGUCAGUCGAAGAUACCAGCUGGCUGCAACUGUUUAUUAAAAACACAGCACUGUGCAAACACGAAAGUGGACGUAUACGGUGUGACGCCUGCCCGGUGCCGGAAGGUUAAUUGAUGGGGUCAGCGCAAGCGAAGCUCCUGAUCGAAGCCCCGGUAAACGGCGGCCGUAACUAUAACGGUCCUAAGGUAGCGAAAUUCCUUGUCGGGUAAGUUCCGACCUGCACGAAUGGCGUAAUGAUGGCCAGGCUGUCUCCACCCGAGACUCAGUGAAAUUGAACUCGCUGUGAAGAUGCAGUGUACCCGCGGCAAGACGGAAAGACCCCGUGAACCUUUACUAUAGCUUGACACUGAACAUUGAGCCUUGAUGUGUAGGAUAGGUG